UUGUAGGUAGCUUAAGUGUAGAGCUCUGGAUUCUUACUCCAGCUGUGUUUUGUGAACCCUUCAAA
This 65-nucleotide transfer RNA is filed under the name Clinostomum complanatum. RNAcentral describes it as "tRNA-Lys". Lineage: Eukaryota; Metazoa; Platyhelminthes; Trematoda; Strigeidida; Clinostomidae. The record is from RNAcentral.